Molecule: unclassified non-coding RNA, 229 nt
Filed under: uncultured fungus
Lineage: Eukaryota; Fungi
Description: partial contains 18S rRNA, ITS1, 5.8S rRNA, ITS2 and 28S rRNA
Source: RNAcentral
AAGGAUCAUUAACGAGUUAGGGUCUUCUAGGCCCGACCUCCCAACCCUAUGUUUACUGUACCAUUGUUGCUUCGGUGGGUCCGUCUAACGACCGCCGGGGGACCGCCGCGAGGCCCCCCUGGCCAGCACCCGCCGAUAGCCAAAUUUAAACCCUUAUGAAUCGUGUCUUAUGUCUAAAUCAUGAUUAAAAAUCAAAACAAAACUUUCAACAACGGAUCUCUUGGUUCUG